UGGUGGAGUGAUUUGUCUGGUUAAUUCCGUUAACGAACGAGACCUCGACCUGCUAAAUAGUUGGAGCAAUUUUGAUUGCUACCACACUUCUUAGAGGGACUAUCGGUGGUUCAACCGAUGGAAGUUCGAGGCAAUAACA
This 139-nucleotide ribosomal RNA is filed under the name uncultured eukaryote. RNAcentral describes it as "partial 18S ribosomal RNA". It matches the Rfam family "Eukaryotic small subunit ribosomal RNA", at positions 1299 to 1458 of the family's 1831-position model. The record is from RNAcentral.